GCGGUCAUAGUUUAGUGGUAGGACGGCUCCUUGCCAAGGAGCAGGCGCGAGUUCGAUUCUCGCUGACCGCACCU
Molecule: transfer RNA, 74 nt
Filed under: Candidatus Adlerbacteria bacterium RIFCSPHIGHO2_02_FULL_52_17
Lineage: Bacteria; Candidatus Adleribacteriota
Also listed under: 1 other name
Description: tRNA-Gly
Rfam family: tRNA
About the family: Transfer RNA (tRNA) molecules are approximately 80 nucleotides in length.
Source: RNAcentral